This is a long non-coding RNA of Chlorocebus sabaeus (green monkey), 2200 nucleotides long. RefSeq lists it as uncharacterized. NCBI's taxonomy places the organism in Eukaryota, Metazoa, Chordata, Mammalia, Primates, Cercopithecidae. The record is from RefSeq and is a predicted model, not a curated record.
UCCAAAGCGGACAUGCAUCUGUGUCUCCCCCACCCCCACGCACUUGUUUGUGUCUGGCCUUUCUCCUACUCCAAGACCUGCUCCACUUCGGGGCUCGCUGCCAUGGAGACGGCUCCGGAUUUAGGAAUACAUUUCCUAGGCUUCCCGCAACUAACCCUGAUCCCUGAUCCCAAGUGGCCAACGUAGAACUCCGAGAACAGCUGGGCUUCUCCAGGGCUUCGAUAGCAGAGCUCCAGUUCCUGAAGAGGCAAAGAGUUGAGCCGCCACCCUGUUCAUCUUGCAUGGAAGGUUUUUCCCCACCUGACACCUUCUUGGCCCUGCUUGGCUCCACAGGGACACUCCAAUGAUCCCUGUACUGAAAUCAACUACCACCUUCAGAAACUGCUCUUUUCCCAAUUUUCCACAGAAGGAUGAGGACACAACUGAGCACCUCAAGACUCCGUGACCUCCACCUGAGUCCCAGGCCCUGGCCUCCGUGGCCCGCACCACUGCAGCAUCCUUGGAAACAGUAGUGGCUGAAACGUGGUGGCUCACGCCUGGAAUCCCAGCACUUUGGGAGGCUGAGCCCUGGCCUGGAUCAGCCAGAGGGAGUUCUGGGGCCACCCCUUACCAUCUGCUGAAGAUGAGCAGCUGAGGCUUCUUCUGCUCCAGGGCCCUCAGCUCCUGCCUCAUCUCAUCGCUCAGAGUCGUCUGGUCCAGCCUGAAAGCACAAAGGGAGACGGGUCCUCCUGGGAUCUCCCAUGUUGUCCCCAGGUCCCCAGGGCCCAGAAUCCCAGGACCUGCCACCUUCUGGAGGAGCGGCACAGGGAUGAAUCAAUCCUGCCCUGCCUGUUCUGAGGCCCAGAGGAGGAGGAGGUGAAAAGAUCCUGCCUCCUGCAAAGGGAUCUGCACGCGUUCCCCUGCUGCUGUUACAGCUGUUCUGCCCCUGGGGAGGAGCGCAGCCCUUGAAGUAGAAGGUUAUUCUUCUCAACGAACUCCUGGCUCCAGAAGGGAAGGAGGUGGACACCUACUCGGGACUCUAGAGGGCAAACCCCCUUGGAAGCAGCCCAGGUUUGACGGGUAAGUGUUGAGCUGGGGCGUGAAGCCACAUCUGCCUGCCACGGCCAAGCUCUGGAGAGAGGCUCUUCGGCGUAAGGGAGGUAGUGAUAGCCAAAAAUACUCAGUGGGGAGCAGCAGACUGGGGUGCAAAGGUGCUGCCCCCUCGGAUGGAGUUCCCAUGGUUGUAAAUGGCCAGUGUCAGCUACAGGAAAACCCAAAUGUAGAUUAUUUAUUUCCGUUAUUCUGCCUUGACCACUUCUCUAGGUUUGGGAGGCCUGGCUGAGGAAGGCCCGAGGCCCAGGCUUCCCGGACGCCCUCUGAGAAGGCUCUGUAUGUGGGGGUUUGGAGCCCCCGUCUGCUCCCUGAGCACAUGGCAGGGCCCCUGGCAGGAGCCACAGGUAAAUGUCAAGACAGAAGCCACCUGUGGGCUUGCUCCCAGGAGGUGGAGGGGAGUGGAAGUGGCCCAGAGAUAGUGUGGGGGUGGCUCCUCGGGGAAGGGUGAGAAUCUCUGGGGCCUACAGGAUGGGAAAUGAGGGCUGGGGGCUCACUCCAAUACGGCUGCUCAGGGUCCUUCAGCUCUCCAGGGUUCAAGUGCCUCUUUGUUCCAGGCCUUUCCCCAUAUCAUCCCUUGGCCUGGACUACUCUCCCCAACUUGGUCUGGCUCCCUAUUCCUCCUUCAGACCUCAGCCUGACAUUGCUUUCUCAGGGAAGUCCUCCCUGGCCUUCCCUGAGAAUGGGAUUUUGAUCAAAUCCCAUCCUCCCUCAAUAUUACAUUCUCAUAAUACCCUGUACUUUCCUUUCUUAGCACUCCACAGAGCUCAUAAAUACAGACUUGUGCAUUUACAGGUGACCAAUGUCCAUCUCCUCCCCACUAGAGUGGAAGCUUCAGGAGGGCAGGACCCAUGUCUGUUUGCUCACUAUCGUACCCCAGGGCCUGGCCUGGUGCUUACAUGUAGGAGGCACUCAGUGAAUGAAUGAAUGAGUAAAUGAAUGAAUAAACUGCUGCCCUGGAGUGAGGGGAACCUGGGAGUCCCUUACAGCAUGCAACCUCAGUAAUAGUUAUCAUUUGAUCAUGCCUGACUCUCUUCCCAGCACUGUCCUUGUUUUUAUUUGAUUGAUUAGUUAAUUAAUUAAAUUUUGAGACUGAGUCUCACUCUGUUGC